Molecule: ribosomal RNA, 492 nt
Filed under: uncultured bacterium
Lineage: Bacteria
Description: partial 16S ribosomal RNA
Rfam family: Bacterial small subunit ribosomal RNA
Source: RNAcentral
AGUGAACGCUGGCGGUAGGCCUAACACAUGCAAGUCGAACGGCAGCACAGUAAGAGCUUGCUCUUACGGGUGGCGAGUGGCGGACGGGUGAGGCAUACAUCGGAAUCUACUUUUUCGUGGGGGAUAACGUAGGGAAACUUACGCUAAUACCGCAUACGACCUACGGGUGAAAGCAGGGGAUCUUCGGACCUUGCGCGAUUGAAUGAGCCGAUGUCGGAUUAGCUAGUUGGCGGGGUAAAGGCCCACCAAGGCGACGAUCCGUAGCUGGUCUGAGAGGAUGAUCAGCCACACUGGAACUGAGACACGGUCCAGACUCCUACGGGAGGCAGCAGUGGGGAAUAUUGGACAAUGGGCGCAAGCCUGAUCCAGCCAUACCGCGUGGGGGAAGAAGGACUUCGGGUUGUAAAGCCCUUUUGUUGGGAAAGAAAAGCAGCAGGUUAAUACCCCGCUGUUCUGACGGUACCCAAAGAAUAAGCACCGGCUAACUUCGUG